UAACCGCCUGGUGAGUAGUUUUUUUUAGUUUUUAAGUAGAAUGUUCAUUAUGAUGAUAAGUAGUCGAUUAGGAGAAUUACUAUGUCACUUAUGGUCGUUGCCUCAUCCUCAUGUUUUUAUUAUUCAGAUUUGUUGUUUUGGGACAUAGAUAUUCUAGAUACCCAUUAUGGAAUCGAUAAAGUCUUCCUACUUCUCCAUUGUUCCAAUCAGAUUCGAAAAAUGAGAAAGAAAGAAAAAGUAAGUGGACCUAAAAAAAAUCAUAA
This 263-nucleotide long non-coding RNA is filed under the name Gossypium barbadense (sea-island cotton). RNAcentral describes it as "long non-coding RNA (GBAR_LNC009388)". The record is from RNAcentral. Lineage: Eukaryota; Viridiplantae; Streptophyta; Magnoliopsida; Malvales; Malvaceae.